Molecule: unclassified non-coding RNA, 361 nt
Filed under: soil metagenome
Description: partial contains 5.8S ribosomal RNA, internal transcribed spacer 2, and large subunit ribosomal RNA
Rfam family: 5.8S ribosomal RNA (bases 1-120)
Source: RNAcentral
GAUGAAGAACUCAGCGAAAUGCGAUAAGUAAUGUGAAUUGCAGAAUUUAGUGAAUCAUCGAAUCUUUGAACGCACAUUGCGCCCCUUGGUAUUCCGAGGGGCAUGCCUGUUCGAGCGUCAUAACACCCCCUCCAGCUGCCUUUGUGUGGCUGCGGUGUUGGGGCACGUCGCGAUGCGGCGGCCCUUAAAGACAGUGGCGGUCCCGGCGUGGGCUCUACGCGUAGUAACUUGCUUCUCGCGACAGAGUGACGACGGUGGCUUGCCAGAACAACCCUCUUUUGCUCCAGUCACAUGGAUCACAGGUUGACCUCGAAUCAGGUAGGAAUACCCGCUGAACUUAAGCAUAUCAAUAAGCGGAGGA